AUUGAACGCUGGCGGCAGGCCUAACACAUGCAAGUCGAGCGGUAGAGAGAAGCUUGCUUCUCUUGAGAGCGGCGGACGGGUGAGUAAUGCCUAGGAAUCUGCCUGGUAGUGGGGGAUAACGUUCGGAAACGGACGCUAAUACCGCAUACGUCCUACGGGAGAAAGCAGGGGACCUUCGGGCCUUGCGCUAUCAGAUGAGCCUAGGUCGGAUUAGCUAGUUGGUGGGGUAAUGGCUCACCAAGGCGACGAUCCGUAACUGGUCUGAGAGGAUGAUCAGUCACACUGGAACUGAGACACGGUCCAGACUCCUACGGGAGGCAGCAGUGGGGAAUAUUGGACAAUGGGCGAAAGCCUGAACCAGCCAUGCCGCGUGUGUGAAGAAGGUCUUCGGAUUGUAAAGCACUUUAAGUUGGGAGGAAGGGCAGUAAAUUAAUACUUUGCUGUUUUGACGUUACCGACAGAAUAAGCACCGGCUAACUCUGUG
Molecule: ribosomal RNA, 484 nt
Filed under: uncultured bacterium
Lineage: Bacteria
Description: partial 16S ribosomal RNA
Rfam family: Bacterial small subunit ribosomal RNA
Source: RNAcentral